GGGUCCGUAGCCGGUUUGAUCAGUCUUCCGGGAAAUCUGACAGCUCAACUGUUAGGCUUCUGGGGGAUACUGUCAGACUUGGAACCGGGAGAGGUAAGAGGUACUACAGGGGUAGGAGUGAAAUCUUGUAAUCCUUGUGGGACCACCAGUGGCGAAGGCGUCUUACCAGAACGGGUUCGACGGUGAGGGACGAAAGCUGGGGGCACGAACCGGAUUAGAUACCCGGGUAGUCCCAGCCGUAAACGAUGCUCGCUAGGUGUCUGGGAUGGUGCGACCGUUUCAGGUGCCGCAGGGAAGCCGUGAAGCGAGCCACCUGGGAAGUACGGCCGCAAGGCUGAAACUUAAAGGAAUUGGCGGGGGAGCACUACAACGGGUGGAGCCUGCGGUUUAAUUGGACUCAACGCCGGAAAACUCACCUGGGGCGACAGCAAUAUGUAGGUCAGGCUGAAGGUCUUACCUGAAUCGCUGAGAGGAGGGGCAUGGCCAC
This 487-nucleotide ribosomal RNA is filed under the name uncultured methanogenic archaeon. Its description in RNAcentral is "bacterial SSU rRNA". It matches the Rfam family "Archaeal small subunit ribosomal RNA", at positions 515 to 1001 of the family's 1478-position model. The record is from RNAcentral. Lineage: Archaea; Methanobacteriati; Methanobacteriota.